AGAGUUUGAUUAUGGCUCAGGAUGAACGCUGGCGGCGUGCCUAACACAUGCAAGUCGAACGAAGCGCAUGCCUGGAACCCUCCGGGGGGAAGGGCAUAUGACUGAGUGGCGGACGGGUGAGUAACGCGUGGGCAACCUGCCCCGCACUGGGGGACAACAGCCGGAAACGGCUGCUAAUACCGCAUAUGCGCACAGCUUUGCAUGAAGCAGUGUGGAAAACUCCGGUGGUGCGGGAUGGGCCCGCGUCUGAUUAGCUGGUUGGCGGGGCAACGGCCCACCAAGGCGACGAUCAGUAGCCGGCCUGAGAGGGUGGACGGCCACAUUGGGACUGAGACACGGCCCAAACUCCUACGGGAGGCAGCAGUGGGGGAUAUUGCACAAUGGGGGGAACCCUGAUGCAGCGACGCCGCGUGAGCGAAGAAGUACCUCGGUAUGUAAAGCUCU
RNAcentral lists this ribosomal RNA (444 nucleotides) under uncultured bacterium. Its description in RNAcentral is "bacterial SSU rRNA". It matches the Rfam family "Bacterial small subunit ribosomal RNA", at positions 8 to 434 of the family's 1533-position model. The record is from RNAcentral.